GAGCAGAGGCCACAGGAGCGCGCGAGAGAACGACCGGGGCACGAGCGAAGAGGGCCCGAGCCCGGCCACUGCAGGGACGGCGCCGGUUAUCGUUCCCGUCACGGCCCUGAAGACAGAGGCCGCAGAGGCAGAAUAAGCCCCGCCGCGCUCGUCACUGCCCGCACACCGCCUCACCUGGACUUGCCUACUCCACUCUCGCCGAUGAUGAGGAUCUUCAGAGUGGUCAACACGUCCUCGUCCAUCCUGACCCUGCUCCGCUCCUGCUCCGGCUCCAGCUGGCCACCGGGUCCGCCUCUUAGCCCUUCACCGCGGAGGGCUGCCUGCGCAUGCGCACCGCUCGACGGCUGCCACCUUCCUUUCACACCGGGUGUUUGGGUUGCUGAAGCUCCCAACACCCGUUCCGCCUUGAGGUAGCUCUGCGUCUGCGCACGCCGGGAGUCAGGCUUCUUUCCCGAGAGCGUGUUCCUCCCGUGCGCAAGCGCAGAUGGGGAGAGCCGCGUGUGACCUGCCUUCCCAAGCUUGAACUCCUCCCCAACCCUUAGAUAGGCCUCUUAAGGUUGGGUAAUUAAUUGGGCGAUGACUUGAGUCUCAGGAAUAUGUACAAAGCUUCUUUUAUUGCAGCAGUCGCUCAUGACAGCUGUUUUGAGGUGGGAAAAUCAUUCCGCUUUGAAGCAGAUUACCUUAAAUGUGGGUCCAACACUACCAUAUAAUCACUUUGUCAUGUUCCUUAGCCACCUUCGCGUGUUUCCCCAUCUCAGGGAGACAAUAAUUACUCUUAUUUGCUUCUUAGAAUUGUUAUGAAGACUAAAUGAGUUAAUAAAGUCCUCUAUGAAAGAUGCAAACAAGUUCUAACCUCUUAGAUUGAAGAGUAUCCUUCACAUGUUAAUUCAUCUUGAAAGGGAGAUGUAGACUUCAUGUAGAUCAGGUGCAUAUAAAUCUCUGGCACAAUUCCAAACCAACUAUUCUUGCUUAUAAAAACUGCUUCGUCAUAACUGCAGGAAUUGGGAAUGUAAACCUUGUCUCCUUUACCACACUGUAAAUCUUAGUGAGGGUACCAAAUCUUUCAUUUAAUGCCAAACAAAGUGCCUGGUACAUGGCAGGUCUAUAAACUUUAGUUCUCAUCCCUUAUUUCCUUAUACUUUCCGCUAAUGUCAUACACAAUGGACAUUUGAUUAAAGAAUAUAAGUAAAAUUUAGGAAUUAAUUUUUCAAAUAAUUUAUAAAGCUCUUCUAUCUGAUAUCCACAUGGUUCCUUCACCUUCUUCAGAUCUUGGCUCACAUGUUUCCUUCUUACUGAGGUUACUUCCCUAUUCAGUACUAAAAUUUGCAAAUCCCUCCAGCAUUCACUCUACGUCUUUGUAUUAUUUGUCUGCAUAGCAUGAUCCUCUGAAAUACUAGAUAUUCUAGUGCUUUGUUUACCGUCUAAUCUUCCCCCAAAGAGAAGUCUUAUUGGGGCAAGGAUUUUUUGUUUGUUUCGUUUACCCAUAUAUCAUCAGUAUCUAGAAUACUCCCUGACACAUAGUAUGUUCUAAAUACAUAACUGCUCAAGGAAUUAACUGAAUGCAUGUUGUAGAGUUCAUACCUAAACUUGGAGAAUGAUGUCAGUGAGACAACCUUAAUCUCUCUUUGCAAUUUUUCUUGCUCAUCAUUUAAACACUCUUGUUCUUUAAGUUUUAGUUUGUCUUUAUCUUCUUAAUCUAUAUACAUUGUCACCUUUUGUCUUCUUGGAUUUACAUGGUCAUUUAUUCCCACUUUCUUUGUCCCUAAAGUAUAUUUCUGGCCCAGAUUUUUCUUCUCAGGUUCAGGCCAACACACAACUGCCAAAACAUCUCCAUAUGAACAUGCCCAAGUUGAAUAUGCCAACCUAAACAUGACAGAUACUGAACUCACUAUCUUUUCCUUUACAAUAGCUUUUUUAACAUUUAUUUUUAUUUUUUAUUUUUAGUGUUGAUGGACCUUUAUUUUAUUUUAUUUUAUUUGUGAUGCUGAGAAACAAACCCAGCGCCUUACACAUGGCAAGCAAGUGCUCUACCACUGAGCCACAACCCCAGCCCCUACAAUAGUUUUUUCACCUAACUUUCUUCUUAAUGAAUGACAUUGUUAACACUUCUUUAAUUUCCUCUCUCUCACUCCCCACAUCCAUUUAGUCCUCACAGAUUUACUCCUUUAAGCAUGCCUGAAAUUUACCCACCUUUUCCAUCUCUUAUUAUCACUGCUAUGGUCAUCACCAUCUGUUUGCAGGAUUACUGUAUUGGCUAUACAUCUGACCUACUCUCUCUGCUUCCCUCACACUAUGAUACUGCAGCCAAAUUGGUAUUUUAAAAUGCUAAUUAACUUAUUCUGCAUUCUUCAAUCCAUCCAGAGGUUCCUCCCUGCCUUUACAAGUAUUUGUUAGCUUAUUAUAAAUACUGAUAUCCUUCCUACCUCAUCUCUUACUAUUGUGUAUCUUGCAUAUCUUGUGUAUCUGUAUUUCAGCCAAACUAGACUUCUAUAUUUUCAUUUUAACCAUGUGUAUCUCCAGGACAUCAUUUAUAUUGUUCCUUCUGCCUGUAGUACUUUUCCUGUCCUCUCCUCUGUACAUACUCUGGCACAUUUACUUGGAUAACUCCUAUUCAUUCUUUGGGUCCCAUCUCUUGAAUUCCUUCCCCCAGACAAUUCCCAUGGCAGUGUUACCUGUUUCUCUUAUAUGCUCUGCUAAUAGCCUAUACUUCUAUCAUGGUGUGUAUCCCACAGUAUUAUGUGUUUACCUCUCUGUUCUCCUAAUAAAAUGUAGGCUUCUCUAAAGCAGAAUUGUCAUUUUUUUUGUCUCCAGCAUCUAGUACAGUGCCUAACCUAGAGUAGUUGCUCAAAAGUGUUUGUUGAUAUAAAUACCCAAAUCAGCCUUCGGAAUUUGGAAC
RNAcentral lists this long non-coding RNA (2896 nucleotides) under Marmota monax (woodchuck). The record is from RNAcentral. Lineage: Eukaryota; Metazoa; Chordata; Mammalia; Rodentia; Sciuridae.